GAUGAAGAACGCAGCGAAAUGCGAUAAGUAAUGUGAAUUGCAGAAUUCAGUGAAUCAUCGAAUCUUUGAACGCACAUUGCGCCCGCCAGUAUUCUGGCGGGCAUGCCUGUUCGAGCGUCAUUACAACCCUCAGGCCCCCGGGCCUGGCGUUGGGGAUCGGCGGAAGCCCCCUGCGGGCACAACGCCGUCCCCCAAAUACAGUGGCGGUCCCGCCGCAGCUUCCAUUGCGUAGUAGCUAACACCUCGCAACUGGAGAGCGGCGCGGCCACGCCGUAAAACACCCAACUUCUGAAUGUUGACCUCGAAUCAGGUAGGAAUACCCGCUGAACUUAAGAAUAUCAAUAAGCGGAGGA
This 353-nucleotide unclassified non-coding RNA is filed under the name soil metagenome. Its description in RNAcentral is "partial contains 5.8S ribosomal RNA, internal transcribed spacer 2, and large subunit ribosomal RNA". The stretch from base 1 to 120 matches the Rfam family "5.8S ribosomal RNA", at positions 35 to 154 of the family's 154-position model. The record is from RNAcentral.